GUAAUUUUGACGUUUUAUUGAUACAUUUGUACAUUUCUAACUCUAUUAAAUAAAAAUAUGCCUCGAAGUCUUGGUAGCACGUUUUACAAAUAAAUUACAUCGACGAGUAAAGGGUGUAUUUUCGUAAACAAAAUUUGUCAUGAUUUCUUUUUGAAAAGCUCAUGUUUGGCUUUUUGGUUCCCUGUGGACAGUCCAAAGUGCAAGUUCACUUCGGAUAACUCCGGAAAAUCGAGGAAGUAGACGAGUAUCAGUUUGUCUUUGUCUUGCACCUAGUGCCCGAUCUGGUGGCAAUGUGUUUACACGGUAUCAUAAUAUGUAGCAUAUAAAGGUUGUUAUAUAAAUUUCAUGUCGAUCACUACUUGGUUAGGUCGACGAAAAGGAGACGGAAAUGUAUUUCAAAGCCUACCAAAAAUUAUUUAGCAGCCACGCAAGGCAAAUACACACUAAUGUAUCACGAAUAUUGUAUAAUCGACAUUAUGGUGUUAAUCAUAACAAAAAUAUCCGUUCCUCGCGUCUAUAUUGGAGCGGGUUUGGUGUGCUAGUCGUUGGGUUAAGUUAUGCUGCUGUGCCUUUAUACAGAAUAUUUUGUCAGGCAUACAGUUAUGGCGGUACGGUAUCAACUGGCCAUGAAGUUGAUAAAGUCAGUACCAUGAAACCUAUUAAGGAUAAAGUGUUAAAAAUAUCAUUUAAUGCAGACACCGCAGCAACAAUGCUUUGGAACUUUAAACCUCAACAGAAUUAUGUAAAAGUGGUUCCUGGUGAAACUGCGUUAGCAUUUUAUACAGCUAAAAAUCCAUUGAAUGAAACGAUUACUGGUAUAUCAACUUACAAUGUGGUUCCGUUCGAAGCAGGACAGUAUUUCAAUAAAAUACAAUGUUUCUGUUUCGAAGAACAGCAACUGAAUCCACACGAAGAAGUUGACAUGCCAGUGUUUUUCUACAUCGAUCCACAGUUUUCUGAAGAUCCUAGAAUGGAGCAUAUCGAUGAGAUCAUACUUUCUUACACGUUCUUUGAAGCCAAACCAGGAGUAAAAAUCCCCUUACCGAAGUAUCUAACAGAACGUACAUGAUAAUUCUAAAAUGUAUGUUCACUUUUAAACGAUGUACAUAAUUGUAUUGGUAAACAAAUGGUUUAAUAUAUCGUCAAUGAACAUCCAAUUCCAACUGAUUUUGAGAGGCCCUGCAGUCUCGUAGCUGAAAGUAAAAUCGAGUGAAUUUUAACCGCGAAAUUUUAGAUUUUUAAUUAAAAUUUACCUGCUCUUUGCAUCUGUCCAAACAAAUCUCCAACUUUUUUCUAUUUUGACGUAAGAUUUCGAUUUCUCCGAGCAAACAUUUCUCCGAAUCGUCGUGCACAAGUUCUGUACCUAUAUGUCGAUAGAAAUAAUAUGUAUUAUAAUACUAUUAAUUUAUGUACCUUCGUCGGAAUAAUAUAAACGUUGAAUUUCACUUUUCUAAAUUUGAUCAAUCAUCACCCUGUCUAGCUUCUCUAUGAUAAA
Molecule: RNA transcript, 1495 nt
Organism: Colletes gigas
Lineage: Eukaryota; Metazoa; Arthropoda; Insecta; Hymenoptera; Colletidae
Gene: Cox11
Gene name: cytochrome c oxidase assembly protein COX11, mitochondrial
Exons: 5
Source: RefSeq, a predicted model, not a curated record